RNAcentral lists this ribosomal RNA (253 nucleotides) under uncultured bacterium. RNAcentral describes it as "partial 16S ribosomal RNA". It matches the Rfam family "Bacterial small subunit ribosomal RNA", at positions 524 to 776 of the family's 1533-position model. The record is from RNAcentral.
UACAGAGGGUGCAAGCGUUGUUCGGAAUUACUGGGCGUAAAGCGCGUGUAGGCUGCGGUGUAAGUCGGACGUGAAAGCCCUUGGCUUAACCAAGGAAGUGCGUCCGAUACUGCGUCGCUUGAGUGUCGGAGGGGGCGGCGGAAUUCCCGGUGUAGAGGUGAAAUUCGUAGAUAUCGGGAGGAACACCUGUGGCGAAGGCGGCCGCCUGGACGAUAACUGACGCUGAGACGCGAAAGCGUGGGUAGCAAACAGG